GACGUAGGAUGCAAGCGUUGUCCGGAUUUAUUGGGCGUAAAGAGCGUGUAGGCGGCCAGGUAGGUCCGUUGUGAAAACUCGAGGCUCAACCUCGAGACGUCGGCGGAAACCCUCUGGCUAGAGUCCGGAAGAGGAGAGUGGAAUUCCUGGUGUAGCGGUGAAAUGCGCAGAUAUCAGGAAGAACACCCGUGGCGAAGGCGGCUCUCUGGGACGGUACUGACGCUGAGACGCGAAAGCGUGGGGAGCAAACAGG
RNAcentral lists this ribosomal RNA (253 nucleotides) under uncultured bacterium. RNAcentral's name for it is "partial 16S ribosomal RNA". It matches the Rfam family "Bacterial small subunit ribosomal RNA", at positions 524 to 776 of the family's 1533-position model. The record is from RNAcentral.